GACGAACGCUGGCGGCGUGCUUAACACAUGCAAGUCGAACGGAAAGGCCCUGCUUUUGUGGUGUGCUCGAGUGGCGAACGGGUGAGUAACACGUGAGUAACCUGCCCUUGACUUUGGGAUAACUUCAGGAAACUGGGGCUAAUACCGGAUAGGAGCUCCUGCUGCAUGGUGGGGGUUGGAAAGUUUCGGCGGUUGGGGAUGGACUCGCGGCUUAUCAGCUUGUUGGUGGGGUAGUGGCUUACCAAGGCUUUGACGGGUAGCCGGCCUGAGAGGGUGACCGGCAACAUUGGGACUGAGAUACGGCCAGGACUCCUACGGGAGGCAGCAGUGGGGAAUAUUGAACAAUGGGCGGAAGCCUGAUGCAGCAACGCCGCGUGCGGGAUGACGGCCUUCGGGUUGUAACCCGCUUUCGCCUGUGACGAAGCGUGAGUGAGGGUAAUGGGUAAAGAAGCACCGGCUAACUACGUG
RNAcentral lists this ribosomal RNA (468 nucleotides) under uncultured bacterium. RNAcentral's name for it is "partial 16S ribosomal RNA". It matches the Rfam family "Bacterial small subunit ribosomal RNA", at positions 28 to 507 of the family's 1533-position model. The record is from RNAcentral.